UACGAGGGGUCCUAGCGUUGUUCGGAAUUACUGGGCGUAAAGCGCGUGUAGGCGGGUCUUUAAGUCAGGGGUGAAAUGCCAAGGCUCAACCUUGGAACUGCCUUUGAUACUGGAGAUCUUGAGUCCGGGAGAGGUGAGUGGAAUUGCGAGUGUAGAGGUGAAAUUCGUAGAUAUUCGCAAGAACACCAGUGGCGAAGGCGGCUCACUGGCCCGGAACUGACGCUGAGACGCGAAAGCGUGGGGAGCAAACAGG
This 253-nucleotide ribosomal RNA is filed under the name uncultured bacterium. Its description in RNAcentral is "partial 16S ribosomal RNA". It matches the Rfam family "Bacterial small subunit ribosomal RNA", at positions 524 to 776 of the family's 1533-position model. The record is from RNAcentral.